UGGUCAAGUUAUUAAGGGUGCAGGGCGGAUGCCUUGGCACUAGGAGCCGAUGAAGGACGUGAUAAGCUGCGAUAAGCUUCGGGGAGUUGCACGUAAACUUUGAUCCGAAGAUUUCCGAAUGAGGAAACUCACUUAGAGUAAUGUCUAAGUAUCAUUAAGUGAAUACAUAGCUUAAUGAGGGGAACUCAGGGAACUGAAACAUCUAAGUACCUGAAGGAAGAGAAAGAAAUUCGAUUCCGUAAGUAGCGGCGAGCGAAC
RNAcentral lists this ribosomal RNA (258 nucleotides) under Clostridioides difficile. Its description in RNAcentral is "partial 23S ribosomal RNA". It matches the Rfam family "Bacterial large subunit ribosomal RNA", at positions 1 to 258 of the family's 2925-position model. Lineage: Bacteria; Bacillati; Bacillota; Clostridia; Peptostreptococcales; Peptostreptococcaceae. The record is from RNAcentral.